Molecule: ribosomal RNA, 572 nt
Rfam family: Archaeal small subunit ribosomal RNA
ACCGGUUGAUCCUGCCGGAGGGGACCCCUAUCGGGCUCGGACUAAGCCAUGCAAGUCGGCUGGGGGCCCAUCCCGCCCCCGGCGGCGCACGGCUCAGUAAUACACGGUCAACCUACCCUGGGGACCGGGAUAUCCUCGGGAAACUGAGGGUAAUCCCGGGUAGGGGCGGGGUGCUGGAAUGCCCCCGCCCUGAGAGUAGGCGGGGGGGUGGCCCCGCUGAGGCCCCAGGAUGGGACCGUGGCCUAUCAGGUAGUAGGUGGGGUAACGGCCCACCUAGCCUAAGACGGGUACGGGCGGUGGGAGCCGGAGCCCGGAGAUGGGCACUGAGACAAGGGCCCAGGCCCUACGGGGCGCAGCAGGCGCGAAACUUCCGCAAUGGGCGAAAGCCCGACGGAGUGAGCCCGAGUGCCGCCCGCUGAGGGCGGCUGUCCCCGGGUGUAAACAGCCCGGGAUAGGAAGGGGAGGGCAAGGCUGGUGCCAGCCGCCGCGGUAAAACCAGCUCCUCGAGGGGUCCCCACGCAUACUGGGCCUAAAGCGUCCGUAGCCGGCCCCGUAAGUCCCCGGUUAAAUCC